UGGCUCAGACGAACGCUGGCGGCGUGCUUAACACAUGCAAGUCGAACGAUGAUCUCCAGCUUGCUGGGGUGAUUAGUGGCGAACGGGUGAGUAAUACGUGAGUAACCUGCCCUUGACUCUGGGAUAAGCCUGGGAAACCGGGUCUAAUACUGGAUACUACUGUCCACCGCAUGGUGGGUGGUGGAAAGGGUUUGACUGGUUUUGGAUGGGCUCACGGCCUAUCAGCUUGUUGGUGGGGUAAUGGCUCACCAAGGCGACGACGGGUAGCCGGCCUGAGAGGGUGACCGGCCACACUGGGACUGAGACACGGCCCAGACUCCUACGGGAGGCAGCAGUGGGGAAUAUUGCACAAUGGGCGGAAGCCUGAUGCAGCGACGCCGCGUGAGGGAUGACGGCCUUCGGGUUGUAAACCUCUUUCAGCAGGGAAGAAGCCACAAGUGACGGUACCUGCAGAAGAAGCGCCGG
RNAcentral lists this ribosomal RNA (465 nucleotides) under bacterium mbm06. RNAcentral's name for it is "bacterial SSU rRNA". It matches the Rfam family "Bacterial small subunit ribosomal RNA", at positions 20 to 496 of the family's 1533-position model. The record is from RNAcentral.